AGGGAAUCUUCCGCAAUGGGCGAAAGCCUGACGGAGCAACGCCGCGUGAGUGAAGAAGGAUUUCGGUUCGUAAAGCUCUGUUGUUAGGGAAGAAUGAUUGUGUAGUAACUAUACACAGUAGAGACGGUACCUAACCAGAAAGCCACGGCUAACUACGUGCCAGCAGCCGCGGUAAUACGUAGGUGGCAAGCGUUGUCCGGAAUUAUUGGGCGUAAAGCGCGCGCAGGUGGUUUAAUAAGUCUGAUGUGAAAGCCCACGGCUCAACCGUGGAGGGUCAUUGGAAACUGUUAAACUUGAGUGCAGGAGAGAAAAGUGGAAUUCCUAGUGUAGCGGUGAAAUGCGUAGAGAUUAGGAGGAACACCAGUGGCGAAGGCGGCUUUUUGGCCUGUAACUGACACUGAGGCGCGAAAGCGUGGGGAGCAAACAGGAUUAGAUACCCUGGUAGUCCACGCCGUAAACGAUGAGUGCUAAGUGUUGGUCUCAUAAGAGAUCAGUGCUGCAGCUAACGCAUUAAGCACUCCGCCUGGGGAGUACGACCGCAAGGUUG
RNAcentral lists this ribosomal RNA (547 nucleotides) under uncultured bacterium. RNAcentral describes it as "bacterial SSU rRNA". It matches the Rfam family "Bacterial small subunit ribosomal RNA", at positions 356 to 896 of the family's 1533-position model. The record is from RNAcentral.